This 581-nucleotide ribosomal RNA is filed under the name Enterobacter sp. RNAcentral describes it as "bacterial SSU rRNA". It matches the Rfam family "Bacterial small subunit ribosomal RNA", at positions 68 to 640 of the family's 1533-position model. Lineage: Bacteria; Pseudomonadati; Pseudomonadota; Gammaproteobacteria; Enterobacterales; Enterobacteriaceae. The record is from RNAcentral.
GGUAGCACAGAGAGCUUGCUCUCGGGUGACGAGUGGCGGACGGGUGAGUAAUGUCUGGGAAACUGCCUGAUGGAGGGGGAUAACUACUGGAAACGGUAGCUAAUACCGCAUAACGUCGCAAGACCAAAGAGGGGGACCUUCGGGCCUCUUGCCAUCAGAUGUGCCCAGAUGGGAUUAGCUAGUAGGUGGGGUAACGGCUCACCUAGGCGACGAUCCCUAGCUGGUCUGAGAGGAUGACCAGCCACACUGGAACUGAGACACGGUCCAGACUCCUACGGGAGGCAGCAGUGGGGAAUAUUGCACAAUGGGCGCAAGCCUGAUGCAGCCAUGCCGCGUGUAUGAAGAAGGCCUUCGGGUUGUAAAGUACUUUCAGCGGGGAGGAAGGUGUUGUGGUUAAUAACCACAGCAAUUGACGUUACCCGCAGAAGAAGCACCGGCUAACUCCGUGCCAGCAGCCGCGGUAAUACGGAGGGUGCAAGCGUUAAUCGGAAUUACUGGGCGUAAAGCGCACGCAGGCGGUCUGUCAAGUCGGAUGUGAAAUCCCCGGGCUCAACCUGGGAACUGCAUUCGAAACUGGCAGG